RNAcentral lists this small nuclear RNA (151 nucleotides) under Tupaia belangeri (northern tree shrew). RNAcentral's name for it is "U4 spliceosomal RNA (ENSTBEG00000020325.1)". It matches the Rfam family "U4 spliceosomal RNA". From Rfam's summary of the family: U4 small nuclear RNA (U4 snRNA) is a component of the major U2-dependent spliceosome. The structure of U4 snRNA from yeast and human has been reported. The record is from RNAcentral. Lineage: Eukaryota; Metazoa; Chordata; Mammalia; Scandentia; Tupaiidae.
AGCUUUGCGCAGUGGCAGUAUCGUAGCCAAUGAGGUUUAUCCGAGGCGCAAUUAUUGCUAAUUGAAAACUGGCCUUGUUGACCCAGACAAAAUCCAUCUCUAUUUGUGAUUCCUCUUCUCCCUCCCCAUCCCUUCUGUUUACAUAAAGGAG